Long non-coding RNA from Amborella trichopoda, 326 nucleotides. RefSeq lists it as uncharacterized. Lineage: Eukaryota; Viridiplantae; Streptophyta; Magnoliopsida; Amborellales; Amborellaceae. The record is from RefSeq and is a predicted model, not a curated record.
GUGAUAUUACAGUAACUUUCUUUUGCUCAAUUUUAGGGAGAGAGAGAUUGUCUUUGCUCAUUUUUAGAGAGAGAGAUAGAGAGAGAGAGUUGCAGGAGAUGUGGCCCUUCCAGAGUAGCCAAUGAGAUGUUGCUGAUAAAGGGGUUUGUCUUCAUAAAUGAAAAGUUGUUUCUGAGAGUUCUUGGAAAUGGAGGAUUGCUCUUUUCAAUGAAUCGGAAGAAGAGAAUUGUAUCUGUUUUUCAUUCUUUCCUCUCUGUAAUUUCAGUUCAUUUGCUCCAUUUACUUAUGAACAACAGUUUCACGCGGGCUGGACCGCAUUUGUACAA